RNAcentral lists this ribosomal RNA (504 nucleotides) under uncultured bacterium. RNAcentral describes it as "partial 16S ribosomal RNA". It matches the Rfam family "Bacterial small subunit ribosomal RNA", at positions 30 to 523 of the family's 1533-position model. The record is from RNAcentral.
AUUGAACGCUGGCGGCAGGCCUAACACAUGCAAGUCGAACGGUAGCACAGAGAGCUUGCUCUCGGGUGACGAGUGGCGGACGGGUGAGUAAUGUCUGGGAAACUGCCUGAUGGAGGGGGAUAACUACUGGAAACGGUAGCUAAUACCGCAUAACGUCGCAAGACCAAAGAGGGGGACCUUCGGGCCUCUUGCCAUCAGAUGUGCCCAGAUGGGAUUAGCUAGUAGGUGGGGUAACGGCGCACCUAGGCGACGAUCCCUAGCUGGUCUGAGAGGAUGAACAGCCACACAGGAGCUGAGACACCGUCCAGACUCCUACGGGGGGCAGCGGUGGGGGAUAUUGUAAAAUGGGCGCAAGACUGAUGCAGCCAUGCCGCGUGUAUGAAGAAGGCCUUCGGGUUGUACAGUACUUUCAGCGGGGAGGUAGGCGAUAAGGUUAAUAACCUUGUCGAUCGACGUUACCCGCAGAAGAAGCGCCGGCUAACUCCGUGCCAGACGCCGCCGUAA